AACCCAUGUUGAGGACAUUUCCGCAGGAGCUCCUUGAACAUAUUCCAUUUCUCAAAAAAAUUCUCCAAUUCCAUUUGUACAAAAGAGGAUAUUUCAUUCCUAAGUUU
Dioscorea cayenensis subsp. rotundata (Guinea yam) is the source of this 107-nucleotide small nucleolar RNA. The record is from RefSeq and is a predicted model, not a curated record. Lineage: Eukaryota; Viridiplantae; Streptophyta; Magnoliopsida; Dioscoreales; Dioscoreaceae.